RNAcentral lists this ribosomal RNA (440 nucleotides) under uncultured bacterium. RNAcentral describes it as "partial 16S ribosomal RNA". It matches the Rfam family "Bacterial small subunit ribosomal RNA", at positions 338 to 795 of the family's 1533-position model. The record is from RNAcentral.
CCUACGGGUGGCUGCAGUGGGGAAUAUUGGACAAUGGGGGCAACCCUGAUCCAGCCAUGCCGCGUGAGUGAUGAGGGCCUUAGGGUUGUAAAGCUCUUUCGCUAGGGAAGAUAAUGACGGUACCUAGAGAAGAAGCCCCGGCUCACUUCGUGCCAGCAGCCGCGGUAAUACGAAGGGGGCUAGCGUUGUUCGGAAUUACUGGGCGUAAAGCGCACGUAGGCGGACAUUUAAGUCAGGGGUGAAAUCCCAGGGCUAAACCCUGGAACUGCCUUUGAUACUGGGUGUCUUGAGUACUAGAGAGGGGAGUGGAAUUCCGAGUGUAGAGGUGAAAUUCGUAGAUAUUCGGAAGAACACCAGUGGCGAAGGCGGCUCACUGGCUCGUAACUGACGCUGAGGCACGAAAGCGUGGGGAGCGAACAGGAUUAGAUACCCCGGUAGUC